This 424-nucleotide ribosomal RNA is filed under the name uncultured prokaryote. RNAcentral describes it as "bacterial SSU rRNA". It matches the Rfam family "Bacterial small subunit ribosomal RNA", at positions 355 to 774 of the family's 1533-position model. The record is from RNAcentral.
UUAAGAAUCUCGCGCAAUGGGGGAAACCCUGACGCAGCGACGCCGCGUCGACAAUGAAGGCCUUCGGGUUGUAAAGUCCGAUAAGCGGGGAAGAAUAAGCAACGGGUACUAUUCGUUGCGAUGCCGGUACCUGCCUAAAGCCCCGGCUAACUACGUGCCAGCAGCCGCGGUAAUACGUAUGGGGCUAGCGUUGUUCGGACUUAUUGGGCGUAAAGGGCGUCUAGGCGGGGGAUUAAGUUAGGUGUGAAAUCCCUGGGCUCAACCCAGGAACUGCAUCUAAAACUGGUUCUCUGGAGUUCGGGAGAGGAGAGCGGAAUGCGCGGUGUAGCGGUGAAAUGCGUAGAUAUCGGGAAGAACACCAGUGGCGAAGGCGGCUCUCUGGCCUAGAACUGACGCUGAAGCGCGAAAGCGUGGGGAGCAAACA